GUCGANACGGGUAGCCGGCCUGAGAGGGCGACCGGCCACACUGGGACUGAGACACGGCCCAGACUCCUACGGGAGGCAGCAGUGGGGAAUAUUGCACAAUGGGCGAAAGCCUGAUGCAGCGACGCCGCGUGAGGGAUGACGGCCUUCGGGUUGUAAACCUCUUUCAGCAGGGAAGAAGCGAAAGUGACGGUACCUGCAGAAGAAGCGCCGGCUAACUACGUGCCAGCAGCCGCGGUAAUACGUAGGGCGCAAGCGUUGUCCGGAAUUAUUGGGCGUAAAGAGCUCGUAGGCGGCUUGUCACGUCGGAUGUGAAAGCCCGGGGCUUAACCCCGGGUCUGCAUUCGAUACGGGCUAGCUAGAGUGUGGUAGGGGAGAUCGGAAUUCCUGGUGUAGCGGUGAAAUGCGCAGAUAUCAGGAGGAACACCGGUGGCGAAGGCGGAUCUCUGGGCCAUUACUGACGCUGAGGAGCGAAAGCGUGGGGAGCGAACAGGAUUAGAUACCCUGGUAGUCCACGCCGUAAACGUUGGGAACUAGGUGUUGGCGACAUUCCACGUCGUCGGUGCCGCAGCUAACGCAUUAAGUUCCCCGCCUGGGGAAGUACGGCCACCAGC
RNAcentral lists this ribosomal RNA (611 nucleotides) under Streptomyces sp. RNAcentral describes it as "bacterial SSU rRNA". It matches the Rfam family "Bacterial small subunit ribosomal RNA", at positions 273 to 893 of the family's 1533-position model. Lineage: Bacteria; Bacillati; Actinomycetota; Actinomycetes; Kitasatosporales; Streptomycetaceae. The record is from RNAcentral.